UACAGAGGUCUCAAGCGUUGUUCGGAAUCACUGGGCGUAAAGGGCGUGUAGGCGGUCCGCUAAGUCUGAUGUGAAAGCCCGGGGCUCACCCCCGGAAGUGCAUUGGAAACUGGCGGACUCGAGUCCCGGAGAGGAGAGUGGAAUUCCUGGUGUAGCGGUGAAAUGCGUAGAUAUCGAGAGGAACACCGGUGGCGAAGGCGGCCUUCUGGACAGUGACUGACGCUGAGACGCGAAAGCGUGGGGAGCAAACAGG
RNAcentral lists this ribosomal RNA (253 nucleotides) under uncultured bacterium. RNAcentral describes it as "partial 16S ribosomal RNA". It matches the Rfam family "Bacterial small subunit ribosomal RNA", at positions 524 to 776 of the family's 1533-position model. The record is from RNAcentral.